Molecule: ribosomal RNA, 253 nt
Filed under: uncultured bacterium
Lineage: Bacteria
Description: partial 16S ribosomal RNA
Rfam family: Bacterial small subunit ribosomal RNA
Source: RNAcentral
UACGUAGGGUGCAGGCGUUAAUCGGAAUUACUGGGCGUAAAGCGUGCGCAGGCGGUUUGCUAAGACAGGUGUGAAAUCCCCGGGCUUAACCUGGGAACUGCGCUUGUAACUGGCAAGCUAGAGUGUGGCAGAGGGGGGUGGAAUUCCACGUGUAGCAGUGAAAUGCGUAGAGAUGUGGAGGAACACCGAUGGCGAAGGCAGCCCCUUGGGCUAACACUGACGCUCAUGCACGAAAGCGUGGGGAGCAAACAGG